UGAUAAUAAUUUAAGGUCUAAUCUGCUCAAUGAGGAGUUAAAUAGCCGCAGUAUUUUGACUGUGCAAAGGUAGCAUGAUAAUUAGUUUCUUAAUUAGGAACUUGUAUGAAUGAUUGGACAAGAAAAUUUCUGUCUCUUUUUAAUUUUUUGUGAAUUUUAUUUUUAAGUUAAAAUGCUUAAAUGUUUAUAAAAGACGAGAAGACCCCAUAGAGUUUUAUUUAAAUUGGUUGGGGUGACUAAAAGAUUUAAUUAACUCUUUUAAUAAAAAUCAUUGAUUUAUGAAUAAUGAUUCUAAUUUUUUUAAAUUUAAAUUAAAUUACCUUGGGGAUAACAGCGUAAUUUCUUUUUAGAGUUCUUAUCAAAUAAGAAGAUUGCGACCUCGAUGUUGGAUUAAAAUUUAUUUUAGGUGUAGAAGCUUAAGGAUUAAGUCUGUUC
Molecule: ribosomal RNA, 435 nt
Filed under: Nyctophila reichii
Lineage: Eukaryota; Metazoa; Arthropoda; Insecta; Coleoptera; Lampyridae
Description: partial 16S ribosomal RNA
Rfam family: Bacterial large subunit ribosomal RNA
Source: RNAcentral